RNAcentral lists this long non-coding RNA (306 nucleotides) under Nicotiana benthamiana. Its description in RNAcentral is "long non-coding RNA (NBEN_LNC042598)". Lineage: Eukaryota; Viridiplantae; Streptophyta; Magnoliopsida; Solanales; Solanaceae. The record is from RNAcentral.
UUUAUCAUAAAAGCAGACAAAGAAAGAAUUUUAGAACUAUGUAAAGUUGACUAUAUUACCUUUGCAUCUUGUAAAAUCAACUCAAUGAAAUAUGGUAUUUUAGGCUUCAAACUAUUCGCGUUUUACACAUUCGAACGAUUCUAACUUUGAGAUUCAAUUGCAUCAAGUUGCUUAAAAAUUGACUGAUUUCAUGAAGUGUUGUAGUUAUUGCAAAGUUCUAUAUUUUGAGAAUAAGGGAAUGUAAAAAAAAAAAGAAAAGAAGGAAUAGACCGUUUGAGACAUUAUCAGUGUAGGAGACAAUUUCUA